Molecule: small nuclear RNA, 104 nt
Filed under: Chinchilla lanigera (long-tailed chinchilla)
Lineage: Eukaryota; Metazoa; Chordata; Mammalia; Rodentia; Chinchillidae
Source: RNAcentral
GUGCCCACUCUGGCAGCACAUAUACUAAAACUGAAAUACAGAGACAAUUAGAGUGGUCCCUGCACAAGGAAGAGACACACAAAUUCAAAAAGCAACAAGCCAGC